UACGUAGGGGGCUAGCGUUGUCCGGAAUCAUUGGGCGUAAAGCGCGCGUAGGUGGCCUCGUAAGUCCGCUGUGAAAGUCAAAGGCUCAACCUUUGAAAGCCGGUGGAUACUGUGAGGCUAGAGUACGGAAGAGGCGAGUGGAAUUCCUGGUGUAGCGGUGAAAUGCGCAGAUAUCAGGAGGAACACCGGUGGCGAAGGCGGGUCUCUGGGCCGAUACUGACGCUGAGGAGCGAAAGCGUGGGGAGCGAACAGG
RNAcentral lists this ribosomal RNA (253 nucleotides) under uncultured bacterium. Its description in RNAcentral is "partial 16S ribosomal RNA". It matches the Rfam family "Bacterial small subunit ribosomal RNA", at positions 524 to 776 of the family's 1533-position model. The record is from RNAcentral.